Molecule: ribosomal RNA, 460 nt
Filed under: uncultured bacterium
Lineage: Bacteria
Description: partial 16S ribosomal RNA
Rfam family: Bacterial small subunit ribosomal RNA
Source: RNAcentral
CCUACGGGUGGCAGCAGUGAGGAAUAUUGGUCAAUGGGCGCGAGUCUGAACCAGCCAAGUAGCGUGAAGGAUGACUGCCCUACGGGUUGUAAAAUUCUUUUAUAAAGGAGUAAAGUGAGGCACGUGUGCCUUUUUGUAUGUACUUUAUGAAUAAGGAUCGGCUAACUCCGUGCCAGCAGCCGCGGUAAUAAGGAGGAUCCGAGCGUUAUCCGGAUGUAUUGGGUUUAAAGGGAGCGUAGAUGGGUUGUUAAGUCAGUUGUUAAAGUUUGCGGCUCAACCGUAAAAUUGCAAUUGAUACUGGCAGUCUUGAGUUCAGUUGAGGUAGGCGGAAUUCGUGGUGUAGCGGUGAAAUGCUUAGAUAUCACGAAGAACUCCGAUUGCGAAGGCAGCUUACUAAACUGCCACUGACAUUGAUGCUCGAAAGUGUGGGUAUCAAACAGGAUUAGAUACCCUAGUAGUC